Molecule: long non-coding RNA, 648 nt
Organism: Cyprinodon variegatus (sheepshead minnow)
Lineage: Eukaryota; Metazoa; Chordata; Actinopteri; Cyprinodontiformes; Cyprinodontidae
Exons: 3
Source: RefSeq, a predicted model, not a curated record
CUGCUGGAGCUUAAAAGGAGUUUUCAGUCAGCUGAAGGAUGCCAGAGUGUUAUGCCGGUUGUGUUCAUCGUGCUCUGGAUUUCUCCCCCCUCCGUGCGCUGAGGACUGGUUCCUGAAUCCUAGAUGCCCAGAUUCUGCUCUGGCGUUCCCCUCAAGCCCCCUUGAUGUUACUGAGCCAGACAAGAGACCCCCCUUUCCUGGAUUCACUCUCGUUCCUUCAGCUGCCUUUCAAACCUGUCUCCGCUUUGGUGCUGCUCGGGCUCCCGCUUAUGUACCAUUGGCUAGCUCACCUGUCGCUCAGCCAUCUCCUCCCAUCGGAAAGCAGUGAGUCGCAGAAUCCCUUCUUUCUGAAGUGCUCCUACCUAGAGUUGGGAAUUGAUAACAUUUUCACGAUUUUGAUUCCCUUAUUGAUUCUGUGAAACAAUGAACUUGGUAAGUGCACAGUGACAUUCAUCUACCUUCGCCUGGGACAUUCUAUUUCUGCCUGCCUCUGUGAAAACAGAAGCCAGUGAACGGGAGCUGCCAGCCUCUGAGCCAGCCAGGCAACCCGUCUUGUCACAGUCAUCAAAAUCUAAUUGAGAAGGCCUCAGUUUAAUGUACAAUUUCGGGAAAUAAACUGUAAUCGAAUCUCCCCCUGAUUUAAAUAAA